This 1539-nucleotide long non-coding RNA is filed under the name Vulpes vulpes (red fox). RNAcentral's name for it is "lncRNA (ENSVVUG00000014530.1)". Lineage: Eukaryota; Metazoa; Chordata; Mammalia; Carnivora; Canidae. The record is from RNAcentral.
CUCAAACUCACAACCCCAAGAUCCAGAGUCUCAUGCUCUACUGACUGAGCCAGCUAGGUGCCCCAACCUUUAUUUUUUUAGAGCAGUUUAGGUUUACCGCAAAAUGGAAUGGAAAGAAAACAUAACUAAAUAGGAAAUGCAGAUUUUCCCAUAUACUUCCUGUCCCCACCCAAGCACAGGUGACCCCACCAUCAACACCAGAGUGGUAUAUUUGUUACAGUCGAGAAACCAACACUAUAAUCUCGAAACCAACACUGACAAACCAACAAAGCCUAUAGUUUACCUUAGUGUUCACGCUUAGUGUUGUACAUUCUAUAGGUUUGGAUAUAUAAUAACAUGUAUCUGCCGUUAUAGUAUUUAGAAUAGUCUCAGUGCCCUAAAAAUCCUGUGUGCUCUGUUAUUCAUCUUCUCCCCACUAAACCUUGGCGACCACUGAUAUUUUUUAUUGCUCCCAUACUUACACCUUCUCCUCUCUCUCUCUCUCUUUUUUUACUUACACCUUUUCCAGAAGGUCUUAGUAGCUGUAACCUGCAAUCAAUAGGCUCUUCAGAUUGGCUUCCUCCACUGAGCCAUAUACAUUAAAGUUUCCUCCAUGUUUUUUCAUGGCUUGAUAGGAUCCUGAUUUUUAAAAGAAUCUUUUCUAUUAUUAUAGUUGAGGAGGUAUUUAUAGAUACAUAUGCCUUAACUCUUUAGAGAAACAAAGUAUACUUCUACUUACUUCCUGAAAUGACUCUAUCUCUCUUCUACAUCCUAGGAGGGUCCAGGAGGGUACAGGUAUCUUCUAGAACCUACAGCUGGCCGUUCACUGAUGUAUUUAGUGUCUAUCAUAGACCACUGUUCCAAACACCAGGGCUGGGUAACAUCCCCAACACUUAGUGGUGCAGUGCCAUCAUUUAUUAUGCUCACAGAUUCUGUGGGUUUGCACAUGACAAACCAGGGACGCCUUGUCUUGCCCUCCCAUGUCUGAUGCCUCAACUGGAAGACUUGAAGUCUACAGGAUGGAAUCAUUGGAAGGUCCCUUCAUUCAUCUCUCUGGCAGUGGGAGCUGGCUGUCAGCUGGGGGCAUUGUUUGCUCCCCACAAGCUAGUGGCUGGUUUCAAGGGCCUCUCUGGAUGCCCUGACGUGACUAGUACUGCAUUGCCUGAAAUGCCUGGCUCCUCCGUGAAGUAUACCAGCAAUCCCAAAGGAUACAAAUACGUCAAUGCCCUUUCAAUGGGGACUUUGCGGUGCCUGCCUAUAGAGUAAAGCAGAAUACAUAUCCCCGCACGAGUGAGUUUAAGUUUGACCAUGUGACUUGGUUUGGCCAAUGAAAUGCAGACUAACAUGUAUAAUGCUCGACAGAAAUUUUAAAUGUGCUUGUGUGGGCUACCUUGCCCCAUACCAUCUACCAUGAGAAGAGCAUGCCCUGAAGAGCUGCUUCUGUCUUCAGAUGAGAGGCACGUGGAACAGACCUAACCAGAUCUGAAGUCUGAAACACAAGUGCCCCAGUUGACCCAAACUACUGUGACUUUGGAAAAUAAAUUCUUGUUGGUAUAAACA